CGCGGCCUAUCAGCUUGUUGGGGGGGUAAUGGCUCACCAAGGCAUCGACGGGUAGCUGGUCCGAGAGGAUGAUCAGCCACACUGGGACUGAGACACGGCCCAGACUCCUACGGGAGGCAGCAGUGGGGAAUCUUGCACAGUGGGCGCAAGCCUGAUGCAGCAACGCCGCGUGCGGGAAGAAGGCCUUAGGGUUGUAAACCGCUUUCAGUAGGGAAGAAAAUGACGGUACCUACAGAAGAAGGUGCGGCCAACUACGUGCCAGCAGCCGCGGUAACACGUAGGCACCAAGCGUUAUCCGGAUUUAUUGGGCGUAAAGAGCUCGUAGGCGGUUCAGUCAGUCGGGUGUGAAAACUUGAGGCUUAACCUCAAGAGGUCGCUCGAUACUACUGUGACUAGAGUGCGGUAGGGGAGCGGGGAAUUCCUGGUGUAGCGGUGAAAUGCGCAGAUAUCAGGAGGAACACCAGUGGCGAAGGCGCCGCUCUGGGCCGUAACUGACGCUGAGGAGCGAAAGCAUGGGUAGCAAACAGGAUUAGAUACCCUGGUAGUCCAUGCCGUAAACGUUGGGCACUAGGUGUGGGUCUCAACCAACGAGAUCCGCGCCGUCGCUAACGCAUUAAGUGCCCCGCCUGGGGAGUACGG
RNAcentral lists this ribosomal RNA (639 nucleotides) under uncultured Actinomycetes bacterium. RNAcentral describes it as "bacterial SSU rRNA". It matches the Rfam family "Bacterial small subunit ribosomal RNA", at positions 232 to 885 of the family's 1533-position model. The record is from RNAcentral. Lineage: Bacteria; Bacillati; Actinomycetota; Actinomycetes.